CCUACGGGUGGCUGCAGUGGGGAAUAUUGGACAAUGGGCGAAAGCCUGAUCCAGCCAUGCCGCGUGUGUGAAGAAGGCCUUCGGGUUGUAAAGCACUUUCAGUGGGGAAGAAAGCCUUGGGGCUAAUACCCUCGAGGAAGGACAUCACCCACAGAAGAAGCACCGGCUAACUCCGUGCCAGCAGCCGCGGUAAUACGGAGGGUGCGAGCGUUAAUCGGAAUUACUGGGCGUAAAGCGCGCGUAGGCGGUCUGAUAAGCCGGUUGUGAAAGCCCCGGGCUCAACCUGGGAACGGCAUCCGGAACUGUCAGGCUAGAGUGCAGGAGAGGAAGGUAGAAUUCCCGGUGUAGCGGUGAAAUGCGUAGAGAUCGGGAGGAAUACCAGUGGCGAAGGCAGCCCUCUGGACUGAAACUGACGCUGAGGUGCGAAAGCGUGGGUAGCAAACAGGAUUAGAUACCCGUGUAGUC
RNAcentral lists this ribosomal RNA (465 nucleotides) under Vreelandella stevensii. Its description in RNAcentral is "partial 16S ribosomal RNA". It matches the Rfam family "Bacterial small subunit ribosomal RNA", at positions 338 to 795 of the family's 1533-position model. Lineage: Bacteria; Pseudomonadati; Pseudomonadota; Gammaproteobacteria; Oceanospirillales; Halomonadaceae. The record is from RNAcentral.